This 415-nucleotide ribosomal RNA is filed under the name uncultured bacterium. Its description in RNAcentral is "bacterial SSU rRNA". It matches the Rfam family "Bacterial small subunit ribosomal RNA", at positions 9 to 416 of the family's 1533-position model. The record is from RNAcentral.
GAGUUUGAUCAUGGCUCAGGACGAACGCUGGCGGCGCGCUUAACACAUGCAAGUCGAGCGAGAACCUAGGCUUCGGCCUAGGGGACAGCGGCGAACGGGGUGAGUAACACGUGGGUAAUCUGCCCUCGACAUCGGGAUAGCCCGGGGAAACCCGGAUUAAUACCGAAUAGCCCAUCCGCUUUUCGGAGCGGCUGGAAAAGGUAGCUUUGGCCUCUGGUCGAGGAGGAGCCCGCGGCGGAUUAGCUUGUUGGUGAGGUAAUGGCCCACCAAGGCGACGAUCCGUAGCUGGUCUGAGAGGACGAUCAGCCACACUGGGACUGAGACACGGCCCAGACUCCUACGGGAGGCAGCAGUGGGGAAUCUUGCGCAAUGGGCGAAAGCCUGACGCAGCGACGCCGCGUGCGGGAAGAAGGCC